RNAcentral lists this ribosomal RNA (569 nucleotides) under uncultured archaeon. RNAcentral's name for it is "bacterial SSU rRNA". It matches the Rfam family "Archaeal small subunit ribosomal RNA", at positions 283 to 856 of the family's 1478-position model. The record is from RNAcentral.
CAAGAGCCCGGAGAUGGAUUCUGAGACACGAAUCCAGGCCCUACGGGGCGCAGCAGGCGCGAAAACUUUACCAUGCGGGCAACCGUGAUAAGGAAACCCCGAGUGCCAGCACAGGCUGGCUGUCCGCCAGUGUAAAUAACUGGUGAAGAAAGGGCCGGGCAAGACCGGUGCCAGCCGCCGCGGUAAUACCGGCGGCUCGAGUGGUGGCCACUAUUACUGGGCUUAAAGGAUCCGUAGCUGGAUAUACAAGUCUCUUGAGAAAUCCGCCGGCUUAACCGGUGGGCGUUCAGGGGAAACUGUAUUUCUAGGGACCGGGAGAGGUGAGAGGUACUGCCGGGGUAGGUGUGAAAUCCUGUAAUCCCGGUGGGACCACCUAUGGCGAAGGCAUCUCACCAGAACGGGUCCGACAGUGAGGGACGAAAGCUGGGGGAGCAAACCGGAUUAGAUACCCGGGUAGUCCCAGCUGUAAACGAUGCGCGUUAGGUGUGUCAGUGACCACGUGUCACUGAGGUGCCGAAGGGAAACCGUGAAACGCGCCGCCUGGGGAGUACGGUCGCAAGGCUGAAACU